Molecule: ribosomal RNA, 326 nt
Filed under: uncultured bacterium
Lineage: Bacteria
Description: bacterial SSU rRNA
Rfam family: Bacterial small subunit ribosomal RNA
Source: RNAcentral
ACUCCUACGGGAGGCAGCAGUGGGGAAUCUUGGACAAUGGGGGCAACCCUGAUCCAGCCAUGCCGCGUGAGUGAUGAAGGCCGUUAGGGUCGUAAAGCUCUUUCGUCCUGUGAUGAUAAUGACAGUAGCAGGUAACGAAACCCGGCUAACUCCGUGCCAGCAGCCGCGGUAAUACGGAGGGGUUAGCGUUGUUCGGAAUUACUGGGCGUAAAGCGCGCGUAGGCGGAUUAGUCAGUUAGAGGUGAAAUCCCAGGGCUCAACCUGGAACUGCCUUUAAUACUGCUAGUCUUGAGUUCGAGAGAGGUGAGUGGAAUUCCGAGUGUAGA